This 840-nucleotide long non-coding RNA is filed under the name Sorghum bicolor (sorghum). RNAcentral's name for it is "long non-coding RNA (SBIC_LNC016111)". Lineage: Eukaryota; Viridiplantae; Streptophyta; Magnoliopsida; Poales; Poaceae. The record is from RNAcentral.
CCUAGAUAAUUGAAGGAUAUGAUAUGAGAAGGUCUUAGAUGCUCUUUAUCUUGUUUCAAGUGACAUCAAAGUUCUAGAGAUUUAUCUUUUGAAAAACCUAAAAAUGAUAGAUGGUGAGUUCCUUUUACGACAAAGCUUGAAUUCAUAACAGAGUCCUAGAUGUUAUUUGGGCUAGGAAAACUUCCACAUAUUUGUUUCUUGCUUGCAUUGAGAUUAGUGAAGCUUUGCUAAUGCCUUAUGAGAGUUUGUCAUACUCUUAAAAUCAAGAUCAUUUACGCACCACAUAUACAUGUUGCUCCUACAAUAGGAGUAUGCAAAAACAUUUCAUUCCAUCUAGAUCUAUCCAAAAAUAUUAUACUACCACUCUAGGAGUGAACACUAAAAACAUAUUUGUUAGGUCUCCAAUCCACCAAAUAAAUGAUCCAAGUUCUUAUUGGUAUCUUUCACAUGGUUUAUUGUACAAAAGGAGAUAUGGGGCUAUGAAAAAGUUAUUCAUGAAAAAAAGCUGAAAAAAUAGACAUGUGUCCAGGCUAUCUAAAACAAUGGGUACUUACAUGCCCGUAUGAAAAAAGAAGAACAAAAAAUAGAAGAGAUGAAUAAGAUAGACCUUUUUCUCUAGCAAUAGUUUCCAAAUUUCUAAAAGAGAUAUAAGUUUUUAAGGAACAAAUUAGAAUUAGGUUAGCUACCAUAUAUAUCCACAACACAUCCACACACAUGCACAUAUUUAUUUGAUUGUACAACUUAACUCUCUUUGGAUCCAUUUUUGGACUUUACAAUAUAUGCUUGGCAAGUAGUCUCUAGCUUUAUCCAUACCAAUAAACACCACAUAAGCCUUAGUGG